AUUGAACGCUGGCGGCAUGCCUUACACAUGCAAGUCGAACGGUAACAGGUCUUCGGAUGCUGACGAGUGGCGAACGGGUGAGUAAUACAUCGGAACGUGCCCGAUCGUGGGGGAUAACGAGGCGAAAGCUUUGCUAAUACCGCAUACGAUCUACGGAUGAAAGCGGGGGAUCUUCGGACCUCGCGCGGACGGAGCGGCCGGUGGCAGAUUAGGUAGUUGGUGGGAUAAAAGCUUACCAAGCCGACGAUCUGUAGCUGGUCUGAGAGGAUGAUCAGCCACACUGGGACUGAGACACGGCCCAGACUCCUACGGGAGGCAGCAGUGGGGAAUUUUGGACAAUGGGCGAAAGCCUGAUCCAGCCAUGCCGCGUGCAGGAUGAAGGCCUUCGGGUUGUAAACUGCUUUUGUACGGAACGAAAAGCCUCUUUCUAAUAAAGAGGGGUCAUGACGGUACCGUAAGAAUAAGCACCGGCUAACUACGUG
This 482-nucleotide ribosomal RNA is filed under the name uncultured bacterium. Its description in RNAcentral is "partial 16S ribosomal RNA". It matches the Rfam family "Bacterial small subunit ribosomal RNA", at positions 30 to 507 of the family's 1533-position model. The record is from RNAcentral.